Long non-coding RNA from Pseudopipra pipra, 1549 nucleotides. RefSeq lists it as uncharacterized. Lineage: Eukaryota; Metazoa; Chordata; Aves; Passeriformes; Pipridae. The transcript is spliced from 2 exons. The record is from RefSeq and is a predicted model, not a curated record.
GGGGGCAUUUAUUUUGCACUCUAUUUUUCUACAGACUGAUAUGUCUUCUCCCUGGCGACUGUGAGGAGUAGCAAGGAAGAGAAUGACUGUGGCUGCCUGGUGGGGGAUGCAUAGCUACUACAGUUUCCAGUUUGGCAGAGCUCACAGAAAUAGCUCUUGCAGAAAUAUGUAUUCCUGAAAUGACCUAAAAAUAACCCAGUAUAAACCUGAAGUGUAUAUAAAGUUGGAAUAUAAAGAUGUAAAAGGUAUAAAUCACUCUGCUCUGCCUGUCCCAGGGAGCACCUUCGUGGUUAUUCCAGCCCAUACCAUGCCUUACCCCUCCACACCGCGACUCUGUUCUCCUGGUUUGAAGGACUUGAUUUGAAAACAGCAGAAGGAUUGAUGCUGCCUUGGCUGGAUCGAGAGGCACCCAUGCCUCUGGAGAAAAUUUUAUUUGUGCUUAUGAAAUGAGACCCUCAUGAGAUGUCGGAUAGACUAGACUGUGAAGGGUCUGCUACAAGUGUUUCAACCCGCCUGUUCGAAAGAGAGCUGAGUUCAUAAUGAGUAGUAUCAUAUGGUUUGUGUUUUUUUUCCCUCUACCAAUAGGAACAGAAAUUUUGUGAUCAGGGGAAGAGCUUUGGGUUGAUAAUAUAAAUUUUGUUCUGCUGGAUAAAACCAGAAGGGUUUUCCUCAAAGCUUCAGCCUUAGAAAAAUGGUGGUACUGCAGUCUCUGCUGUCUAUGUUCAGAGCUAAAAUGAAAUCUUUUUAUUACAUUCACUUGAAAUAAUGACAUCUGCUACUCCAGGCACAGUUAAAACCUCAUUCACUUGCUUGUAUGCCUGGGCUCUAGAAAAAUUUCCCAAUGAACUUGAACGCCUACUGUGUUAAGCAGUGUCCCUUUUAAAUGUACUAAUUGCAAAACAUAGACUGAAGAGAAAUGGUCACAGCAGUGGUGGAUGAAGAGUUUUUGUCCCUCAUUAAGUUUAAGCUUGAGGCUCUGGUAGAGCUUUGUCAUUUCAGCCCAGCACUUCUGCUAUAUGGCAGUAUUCAAGCAUGCAGACUUCAAAUGGUCUUUUCAUGGGCAUUCAGGCAAUCCAGGCUCCAUCGCUCUAACGUCUGUAGAAAACAAACAAGAAAGAGCUGGGAAGCCUGGGCAAAGGGAAUCCAUUUUCAAGCCACCAGUAACACUAGUCCACUAAUGCAAUCCCUGUCUUGGCCUCUGGAUUUGAGAGAUGAUUAAAAAAAACCCCAAAGCCAGAAACAAAUUGGCAUCAUCUAGCCAGAUGUUAAUGGGACGCUAGCUCUUAAUGGAUGUUUGCUGCUAUUCACACUGCUGUGUAUCACUACUGCUUUCUUCAGUUUACAUAAUCAGAUAUAAUCCGUGAAUAUGUUCAUGCAAAUUUUAGCAGAGGAUGGAUUUGUAGAGCAGGACAUCUCAGUUACAAUGUGCUUUAACUAGAAAUCGUUUAUGUGAAAUACAGAAAUGACCACCUCAGGUAACAUUUCUGUAAUUUUUAAUUUAAUUUCUGUAAUUGUUUUACUGUGAAACCCGAUAAAAAUUAGACAAAAC